Molecule: ribosomal RNA, 257 nt
Filed under: uncultured Basidiomycota
Lineage: Eukaryota; Fungi; Basidiomycota
Description: partial 18S ribosomal RNA
Rfam family: Eukaryotic small subunit ribosomal RNA
Source: RNAcentral
AAGCUCGUAGUUGAAUUUCGAAUGUGGCUGGGCGGUCCGCCUCACGGUGUGUACUGUCUGGCUGUGUUCUCUUUCUUGGUGAGUCGGCAUGCCCUUUACUGGGUGUGUUGGGGAACCAGGACGUUUACCUUGAGAAAAUUAGAGUGUUCAAAGCAGGCCUACGCCCGAAUACAUUAGCAUGGCAUAAUAAAAUAGGACGUGCGGUUCUAUUUUGUUGGUUUCUAGAGCCGCAGUAAUGAUUAAUAGGGAUAGUUAGG